This 551-nucleotide long non-coding RNA is filed under the name Gouania willdenowi (blunt-snouted clingfish). RNAcentral describes it as "lncRNA (ENSGWIG00000012821.1)". Lineage: Eukaryota; Metazoa; Chordata; Actinopteri; Blenniiformes; Gobiesocidae. The record is from RNAcentral.
CGGUGGUUAGUGAGAAGGAUGAAGGAAGGGGGAGGAGUGAUAGUGAGAGCUCAGAGAAUGAAGAGGAACGCGUCAGCUACGACAGCGGCGAUGGAGCCGGUGACAUUCAGAUAAACUUGUCCUCAAAAGAAGCUGCUGUUGGGAUGCUUUCCUUUUCGUCACAGUCCUUAAGGCUCCAGAUGCACCAGAAAGCCAGAAGAAAGGCCUUGGGACGUCCUGACAUGGUGGGUUUGCUCGGCGCUGACCAGAGAAAAGCACAAAGAAGAACCAACCUUGCUAACACAGACACGGGCCGUCCGGACCACGUUGGGGGCAACAAAGCCCAUCAGCAUUGUUGGAGUACGUCGUCAAUGGGUGGUAAUGUUGGGGACUACAGAACCAUGACAGAGAACAAGAGAACCAUCAAAGAUGACGAGAAGAGGGCGUCUGUCGAAGCGACUAUUCGGGAAAGGUAGAGAUUUGCAGAGUUGUAUGGUGUUAUGUGAUGGUGUUUAAACCUAAACAGUAGAGUCAAAGAGGACGGGUGACUCAGAUAUGAGGCUCCCAUUGGU